Molecule: long non-coding RNA, 1367 nt
Organism: Mauremys reevesii (Reeves's turtle)
Lineage: Eukaryota; Metazoa; Chordata; Testudines; Geoemydidae
Exons: 3
Source: RefSeq, a predicted model, not a curated record
UCUAACUUGCACGUGCACAAGUUGUCUCUUCUCAUGUCUCACAGGAAUGGAAUAGUUGCUGCUGAAGUGAGGUUCUGUGUUACUAAUGGUACAUCUAUACAGUUGCUUGUGCUUGAACUUGGGCACAAGUGUAACCCCCCUUGCAUCUACACUGCAAUUGCACUAACCCAGGACUUGGACCCAGGGUCCCAGGACUUUGUAGGGUUGUAGGUCCGAGCACAAGGUAAGCCGGGACCCAGGGUGUGGGCCCCGUUUCUUUGGAGUGUGGAUGCAGCCCUGUAUGAUUUGGGUCCUGGUAGUCAGAUGGAAGUAUUCUACAAUUCUGUGGGAUGACUUCCUUAGUCUUCUUUAUCCCAACAAUCUGUAAUCCAUUCUAUUGAAAAUAGAAGCCCCCUCCCCCCCCCAGCCCGGUGAAUGGCAGCAGUUCAGGUCAGCUUUUAACCCAUUCUCUUCUGAUCACUGAUCUGCAACCACACUAUCAGAGAGCCUCCUGGGUUUGCAGUGGAGAGUGAACUGAUCAAGUUUUUUGCAAAGUGAGCUGCUUCACGGGAUCACAGCAAAAUUUUAGUGAAUCUCUGGUGCAAAGCCAGGAAAACUGCAGACUUCAGCAAAAACACAAGGAAUGACUAUGUGAGCCAGCAGCUAGCUAAAAAGCUGGCAGCUCUGCAGAUUUUCUGGGCAGGUGAUUGGUGCAGGGAGCAUAUUAAGAGUACUGGAAGACCAGGGACAAGAAAUACACCUCGAGCAAUUUGUGAGAUAACUUUCAUUGGGUUCUGGUCUGUGUACUCUGCACGAAGCCAACUGUUCUUCAUGACAGCCUGGUCAGCUGGGAUGGUACCCUGUUGGUCCCUGAAUCGAGCAUGGAGACUGCUGGGAGACAGCAGCAGUUUCCUAGUGAGGAGCAAGAAGUGACUCUCUUUCAGUGAAACCAAUCCCAGAGGAGGCUCUGGAUCUGGAUCAACAGCACGUUCUCGUUCUCUACUUGGAAGAACUGUUCGAUUUUCCCCACCCCACCCCAAGAAAUAUGCCGCUGCUGAGUCUGCAGCAAACCUGGUGGAGACAGAAGCCUUCUCAGAGUCCGUAACUGCAAUUAACCAGGCUGUGUCCAGAGACAGUAUGAGGACUGAAUCAUCCCCAUCACAAAGUGAUUCUCAACCUAUAUUGCCUGCUGUUCUUCAGGAACUUGAUCCCUAUCCUAACACUCCUUCACUGACUGUUCCAAAAGGAAGUAUUUCCACGAAGAAGUUAUGAUUGAUGCUCUUGAGAGGGCAGACCAGGAGGUCCUAUAUCAGAAGAAAAGGGACAAAACGCCUGCAGCAAUGUAUGCGUUGACAGACAGGAGGAAAGUCUGAGGCUUGCCACCCAGG